RNAcentral lists this transfer RNA (73 nucleotides) under Ovis aries (sheep). It matches the Rfam family "tRNA". Rfam says of the family: Transfer RNA (tRNA) molecules are approximately 80 nucleotides in length. The record is from Rfam by way of RNAcentral. Lineage: Eukaryota; Metazoa; Chordata; Mammalia; Artiodactyla; Bovidae.
UCCCUGGAGGUCCAGUGGUUAGGACUCCACACUUCCAAUGCAGGGGACCCAGGUUUGAUCCCUGGUAGGGGAU